AUUGAACGCUGGCGGCAUGCUUUACACAUGCAAGUCGAACGGUAACAGGCCGCAAGGUGCUGACGAGUGGCGAACGGGUGAGUAAUGCAUCGGAACGUGCCCAGUCGUGGGGGGUAACUACUCGAAAGAGUAGCUAAUACCGCAUACGAUCUAUGGAUGAAAGCGGGGGACCGUAAGGGCGCGCGCGAUUGGAGCGGCCGAUGUCAGAUUAGGUAGUUGGUGGGGUAAAGGCUCACCAAGCCAACGAUCUGUAGCUGGUCUGAGAGGACGACCAGCCACACUGGGACUGAGACACGGCCCAGACUCCUACGGGAGGCAGCAGUGGGGAAUUUUGGACAAUGGGCGCAAGCCUGAUCCAGCAAUGCCGCGUGCAGGAAGAAGGCCUUCGGGUUGUAAACUGCUUUUGUACGGAACGAAACGGCUCUGGUUAAUACCCGGGGCUAAUGACGGUACCGUAAGAAUAAGCACCGGCUAACUACGUG
Molecule: ribosomal RNA, 482 nt
Filed under: uncultured bacterium
Lineage: Bacteria
Description: partial 16S ribosomal RNA
Rfam family: Bacterial small subunit ribosomal RNA
Source: RNAcentral